RNAcentral lists this ribosomal RNA (472 nucleotides) under uncultured bacterium. Its description in RNAcentral is "bacterial SSU rRNA". It matches the Rfam family "Bacterial small subunit ribosomal RNA", at positions 335 to 798 of the family's 1533-position model. The record is from RNAcentral.
ACUCCUACGGGAGGCAGCAGUGGGGAAUAUUGCACAAUGGGCGCAAGCCUGAUGCAGCCAUGCCGCGUGUAUGAAGAAGGCCUUCGGGUUGUAAAGUACUUUCAGCAGUGAGGAAGGCGGGUACGUUAAUAGCGUGCUCGUUUGACGUUAGCUGCAGAAGAAGCACCGGCUAACUCCGUGCCAGCAGCCGCGGUAAUACGGAGGGUGCGAGCGUUAAUCGGAAUUACUGGGCGUAAAGCGCAUGCAGGUGGUUCGUUAAGUCAGAUGUGAAAGCCCGGGGGCUCAACCUCGGAAUUGCAUUUGAAACUGGCGGACUAGAGUACUGUAGAGGGGGGUAGAAUUUCAGGUGUAGCGGUGAAAUGCGUAGAGAUCUGAAGGAAUACCGGUGGCGAAGGCGGCCCCCUGGACAGAUACUGACACUCAGAUGCGAAAGCGUGGGGAGCAAACAGGAUUAGAUACCCUGGUAGGAUAG